AUUGAACGCUGGCGGCAUGCCUUACACAUGCAAGUCGAACGGUAACAGGUCUUCGGAUGCUGACGAGUGGCGAACGGGUGAGUAAUACAUCGGAACGUGCCUAGUAGUGGGGGAUAACUACUCGAAAGAGUGGCUAAUACCGCAUGAGAUCUACGGAUGAAAGCAGGGGAUCGCAAGACCUUGUGCUACUAGAGCGGCCGAUGGCAGAUUAGGGAGUUGGUGGGAUAAAAGCUUACCAAGCCGACGAUCUGUAGCUGGUCUGAGAGGACGAUCGGCCAAACGGGGGCUGAGACACGGCCCAGACUCCUACGGGAGGCAGCAGUGGGGAAGUUUGGACAAUGGGCGAAAGCCUGAUCCAGCAAUGCCGCGUGCAGGAUGAAGGCCUUCGGGUUGUAAACUGCUUUUGUACGGAACGAAAAGCCCCGGGUUAAUACCCUGGGUUCAUGACGGUACCGUAAGAAUAAGCACCGGCUAACUACGUGCCAGCCGCCGCCGUAA
RNAcentral lists this ribosomal RNA (498 nucleotides) under uncultured bacterium. Its description in RNAcentral is "partial 16S ribosomal RNA". It matches the Rfam family "Bacterial small subunit ribosomal RNA", at positions 30 to 523 of the family's 1533-position model. The record is from RNAcentral.